This 253-nucleotide ribosomal RNA is filed under the name uncultured bacterium. Its description in RNAcentral is "partial 16S ribosomal RNA". It matches the Rfam family "Bacterial small subunit ribosomal RNA", at positions 524 to 776 of the family's 1533-position model. The record is from RNAcentral.
UACGUAGGGGGCAAGCGUUGUCCGGAAUCAUUGGGCGUAAAGAGCGUGUAGGCGGCCCGAUAAGUCCGCUGUGAAAGUCCAGGGCUCAACCCUGGAAUGCCGGUGGAUACUGUCGGGCUCGAAUCCGGAAGAGGUGAGUGGAAUUCCUGGUGUAGCGGUGAAAUGCGCAGAUAUCAGGAGGAACACCAAUGGCGAAGGCAGCUCUCUGGGCCGGUAUUGACGCUGAGACGCGAAAGCGUGGGGAGCAAACAGG